AUUGAACGCUGGCGGCAGGCCUAACACAUGCAAGUCGAGCGGAUGAAGGGAGCUUGCUCCUGGAUUCAGCGGCGGACGGGUGAGUAAUGCCUAGGAAUCUGCCUGGUAGUGGGGGAUAACGUCCGGAAACGGGCGCUAAUACCGCAUACGUCCUGAGGGAGAAAGUGGGGGAUCUUCGGACCUCACGCUAUCAGAUGAGCCUAGGUCGGAUUAGCUAGUUGGUGGGGUAAAGGCCUACCAAGGCGACGAUCCGUAACUGGUCUGAGAGGAUGAUCAGUCACACUGGAACUGAGACACGGUCCAGACUCCUACGGGAGGCAGCAGUGGGGAAUAUUGGACAAUGGGCGAAAGCCUGAUCCAGCCAUGCCGCGUGUGUGAAGAAGGUCUUCGGAUUGUAAAGCACUUUAAGUUGGGAGGAAGGGCAGUAAGGUAAUACCUUGCUGUUUUGACGUUACCAACAGAAUAAGCACCGGCUAACUUCGUG
This 484-nucleotide ribosomal RNA is filed under the name uncultured bacterium. RNAcentral's name for it is "partial 16S ribosomal RNA". It matches the Rfam family "Bacterial small subunit ribosomal RNA", at positions 30 to 507 of the family's 1533-position model. The record is from RNAcentral.